CAGCCGAGCGGUAGAGAUUCUUCGGAAUCUUGAGAGCGGCGCACGGGUGCGGAACACGUGUGCAACCUGCCUUUAUCAGGGGAAUAGCCUUUCGAAAGGAAGAUUAAUGCCCCAUAAUAUAUUUUCUGGCAUCAGAAGAUAUUGAAAACUCCGGUGGAUAAAGAUGGGCACGCGCAGGAUUAGAUAGUUGGUAGGGUAACGGCCUACCAAGUCAACGAUCCUUAGGGGGCCUGAGAGGGUGAUCCCCCACACUGGUACUGAGACACGGACCAGACUCCUACGGGAGGCAGCAGUGAGGAAUAUUGGACAAUGGGUGAGAGCCUGAUCCAGCCAUCCCGCGUGAAGGACGACGGCCCUAUGGGUUGUAAACUUCUUUUGUACAGGGAUAAACCUUUCCACGUGUGGGAAGCUGAAGGUACUGUACGAAUAAGCACCGGCUAACUCCGUGCCAGCAGCCGCGGUAAUACGGAGGGUGCAAGCGUUAUCCGGAUUUAUUGGGUUUAAAGGGUCCGUAGGCGGACUCGUAAGUCAGUGGUGAAAUCUCACAGCUUAACUGUGAAACUGCCAUUGAUACUGCGGGUCUUGAGUGUUGUUGAAGUAGCUGGAAUAAGUAGUGUAGCGGUGAAAUGCAUAGAUAUUACUUAGAACACCAAUUGCGAAGGCAGGUUACUAAGCAACAACUGACGCUGAUGGACGAAAGCGUGGGGAGCGAACAGGAUUAGAUACCCUGGUAGUCCACGCCGUAAACGAUGCUAACUCGUUUUUGGUUUUUCGGAAUCAGAGACUAAGCGAAAGUGAUAAGUUAGCCACCUGGGGAGUACGUUCGCAAGAAUGAAACUCAAAGGAAUUGACGGGGGCCCGCACAAGCGGUGGAUUAUGUGGUUUAAUUCGAUGAUACGCGAGGAACCUUACCAAGGCUUAAAUGGGAAUUGAUGGGUUUAGAAAUAGACCGUCCUUCGGGCAAUUUUCAAGGUGCUGCAUGGUUGUCGUCAGCUCGUGCCGUGAGGUGUUAGGUUAAGUCCUGCAACGAGCGCAACCCCUGUCACUAGUUGCCAUCAUUCAGUUGGGGACUCUAGUGAGACUGCCUACGCAAGUAAAAA
RNAcentral lists this ribosomal RNA (1100 nucleotides) under Chryseobacterium sp. RNAcentral describes it as "bacterial SSU rRNA". It matches the Rfam family "Bacterial small subunit ribosomal RNA", at positions 59 to 1168 of the family's 1533-position model. Lineage: Bacteria; Pseudomonadati; Bacteroidota; Flavobacteriia; Flavobacteriales; Weeksellaceae. The record is from RNAcentral.